AGAACGACCCUGUUGCCUUGGGCUUUCUGGCUGCAUGUUUCGGGGUGCAUUAAGGUUUUCGCGUGGCUCUAGAGGAUGUACUUCGGAUAAGGUGGGGGGGGAGGAGAAGGCCCAAGAAUAGCACAGGAGACGGGAAGUGAGGGACUUUCUGUAGUCACUUAAGCCUCUGGGAUUCCCCUGUGGUCGAGCUGUAGACCCCAACUCUGCUGGGGAGCCCCUUCGGUUUUCUCUAAUAUGAACCAAGUAUCCGAGGCAGGAAGGGCCUGGGUCUCCAGAGCGCUCCUUCACUCGGCCUGGCGGAAGCUCUCAGCACUGGCUUGACAGGGGCCACAGAUCCAGAAGAAGGCAAUGGAUGCACUGCUGCUGGAGUUAAAGGGCCCUACAACAGUUGCCGAAGGUGAGAGGAGGAAGGCCAGAUGGCACAGAUGGCCUGGGAGAGGACCAGGAACUAGCAGUCAAGGAGCAAUUAAGGCUGAACGGCAUUUGAGUCAGGAGGCUGCCUAAUGGGAACGGUGUGUGUGUGUGUGUGUGUGUGUGUGUGUGUGUGUAUAGGGGCAGGAGCUACGGCCAGGCAGAGGUGGGGAGAGGCUUGGUAAUAAGGUACAUGGGAACACACAAUGUAGGGUCCUGCCCCUGACUUCUAUCCCAGUUCUGGAAGCUUCCUAGGGUUAUCGAGGUGAUGUCUGGGAGGCAUGGCUGACUUCCUCUUACCUGGCCCUUCUCCAGUUUCCGGAUGGCGGUGUUGGCACGGCGCUGUAGCAUCUUCAGUGUGGUCUGUAGCUCCUGCCGUUGCCACUGAGGUAUCACAGCAGACUCUGUGACCUAUGGUUAGAGCAGAGUGUCACCCUCGCCCUUCUCCUGACUGACAGUGCCAGGGCAGACGCCAUAUCUACCCUGAAGACAAACACCUGGGCCAGCUGGAAGGCUGGGAGGGAUGGGAAGGGUCUGGAAGGGAUGGAGGAGGGAACAUGGCCAGUGGAAGGUAGGGACUGGAGCAGCGAGGGUAGCUCCUGACCUCGAUGAGCCGUCCUAUGUCCUUCGAUAGCCGGUGAGCUUCCGGCAGGUCUCGGUUGCCCCGACUUAGUCGCUCACUGGCUGCUUCCACUUGCUGAGACAGGCUCUGGCCCACCUCUCGGGCCUAUGGGAGAGGACCAGAAAGCGAGGGCUUACAGUCACCUUCCUAGGACAGAGUCUCAUAUCUCACUGCAGUCUGGGCCAUAUUAGAAGUAUUUGCUGGGCUAGAGAGAUGGCUCAGCCAUUGAUUGCUCUUCUGAAGGUCCGGAAUAAAAUCCCAGCAACCACAUGGUGGCUC
Mastomys coucha (southern multimammate mouse) is the source of this 1312-nucleotide long non-coding RNA. RefSeq lists it as uncharacterized. The record is from RefSeq and is a predicted model, not a curated record. The transcript is spliced from 3 exons. Lineage: Eukaryota; Metazoa; Chordata; Mammalia; Rodentia; Muridae.